UACGUAGGGAGCGAGCGUUAUCCGGAUUUAUUGGGUGUAAAGGGUGCGUAGACGGGAAUGCAAGUUAGUUGUGAAAUCCCUUGGCUUAACUGAGGAACUGCAACUAAAACUACAUUUCUUGAGUGCAGGAGAGGUAAGUGGAAUUCCUAGUGUAGCGGUGAAAUGCGUAGAUAUUAGGAGGAACACCAGUGGCGAAGGCGACUUACUGGACAGUAACUGACGUUGAGGCUCGAAAGCGUGGGGAGCAAACAGG
RNAcentral lists this ribosomal RNA (253 nucleotides) under uncultured bacterium. RNAcentral describes it as "partial 16S ribosomal RNA". It matches the Rfam family "Bacterial small subunit ribosomal RNA", at positions 524 to 776 of the family's 1533-position model. The record is from RNAcentral.